AAACCGCCUAGAGGUAAACGGGUGGAUCCGCAAAGUCGGCCCGCGGAAUUCAGCUCGGGAGGUCGCGCGCCCGCUGGUGGUCCGGGGAUCUUUAUCGACCCUCCCACCUCGGGACCGCGCGUCGACCGUGUGCACUUUCCGCGGGCAGAGCGCCACGACCGGUUCUCGGGCGGUCAGAAGGCGGCGGGGAUGGUAGGCGUGCGCCUCGGCGCGCGCUGGUAUAGCCCCGCCUGUCCCGAUCCGCUCGGGGACCGAGGAGCCGCCGUCUGGCUUAGGCCGCCUUGCCUUCCCGGGAGGUUCGACUGGCAGAGACUGGGCAACCGUGUCUGCCGACCGCCUCUCGGGAUGGACGGGGUGGGCGAGCCGGCACAGGGUCGGUGGCGAAUCGGUCGGCCCUCCACCCGACCCGUCUUGAA
Molecule: ribosomal RNA, 416 nt
Filed under: Crepidula philippiana
Lineage: Eukaryota; Metazoa; Mollusca; Gastropoda; Littorinimorpha; Calyptraeidae
Description: partial 28S ribosomal RNA
Source: RNAcentral